Molecule: ribosomal RNA, 774 nt
Filed under: Triticum aestivum (bread wheat)
Lineage: Eukaryota; Viridiplantae; Streptophyta; Magnoliopsida; Poales; Poaceae
Description: partial small subunit ribosomal RNA
Source: RNAcentral
AUGAAGCAUGUGCUUACUAUGAUAGUGAUGAACCAUGUACAUGUAUCCUUCUGCUUCCAUGGAUUGUCCGUAGUGCUCGUUGAGCCAACUACUCCUGCUGCUGCUGCCGCUGCACUCAAGCUAGCAGCAGCAAAGGCAAAGAAGGAUGGUAGGUCAAACAACAUGAAGUGGCAGCCGUUCAUGUCCACGUUCGUGCUGAACAAGAUGUGUGAGCUCAUCUCUAGUGGAGUUAGGACUGACAAGGGCUUCAAGGAGGUGCAUUUGAACACCGUUGCGAAGCAGGUGUUCGAGUUCUGUGGGCAAGAGGUGUCUGCCACCCAGGUGUACAACCACCUGAGGAAGUGGAGAAGUCGAUGGAUCCAAGUGUCCAGGCUGAGAGACCUUAGCGGUGCCUCAUGGGAUGAGAACACUUGCUCCAUAGUUCUGGAGGCAGAGCACUAUGCGGGCUAUGUCGCGGGUGGCUUCAGCGACGAGGCUCUCAUGGCAGCUCUCAGCCACCUGCUUGAUAACAAGGCCCAGGGUGUUGGGUUCGUUGCCAUGGCCGACGCUCACAGGGGCAAGUGGUAUGCCGUGUUCGUUGGUAAGGUCCAGGGGUUUAUAGUUCAUGGGAAGAGGCCAGUGCACAAGUGGAAUCUUAUAGCAACAGCACCCAUAGAGGGUUCGAGACUAGGCAGGCAGCAGAACAAGCUUACUCCGACUGGGUGCGAACGCACGACAGCAGUGUUGACAGUCGCAAGGUUUGAGGUGUCAAGGUGGAUCGUCAGUUUGGGCUGA